RNAcentral lists this ribosomal RNA (459 nucleotides) under uncultured bacterium. RNAcentral describes it as "partial 16S ribosomal RNA". It matches the Rfam family "Bacterial small subunit ribosomal RNA", at positions 339 to 795 of the family's 1533-position model. The record is from RNAcentral.
CUACGGGCUGCUGCAGUGAGGAAUAUUGGACAAUGGUCGAAAGACUGAUCCAGCCAUGCCGCGCGCAGGAUGACUGCCCUAUGGGUUGUAAACUGCUUUUAUACGGGAAGAAAAACACCUACGUGUAGGUGACUGACGGUACCGUAAGAAUAAGGACCGGCUAACUCCGUGCCAGCAGCCGCGGUAAUACGGAGGGUCCAAGCGUUAUCCGGAAUCAUUGGGUUUAAAGGGUCCGUAGGCGGGCUAUUAAGUCAGAGGUGAAAGUUUGCAGCUCAACUGUAAAAUUGCCUUUGAUGCUGAUAGUCUUGAAUUGUAGUGAAGUGGUUAGAAUAUGUGGUGUAGCGGUGAAAUGCAUAGAUAUCACAUAGAAUACCGAUUGCGAAGGCAGAUCACUAACUAUAUAUUGACGCUGAGGGACGAAAGCGUGGGGAGCGAACGGGAUUAGAUACCCCCGUAGUC